Long non-coding RNA from Lolium perenne, 1495 nucleotides. RefSeq lists it as uncharacterized. NCBI's taxonomy places the organism in Eukaryota, Viridiplantae, Streptophyta, Magnoliopsida, Poales, Poaceae. The record is from RefSeq and is a predicted model, not a curated record.
UUUAGUCCAUAAAGCUGAUCUGCAAAUAUUCUCCAUACAAUUACUCCUCACUUGCCUCAAAUAUCAGGAACGAGGUUGACCAGAUUUCCUCGAGUGCACCUAACCCAGUACUACAAUCAUCAUGUACAACUAUGUGUUCUAGGAUAUGCGAAAUUGUGACCUCCAGCAGGCUUGCACAGAUGAUGCCAAUGCCUGAUUAAAUACGUCCUUUUAAAGGCCUGGAAUUGAAGCUUCAGUUCAGUGUAAACCUAUUUCCACAUUUUCUGACUAUUUAAUCAUUUUGUACUUGUCUGUGCAAUACAAGACCAGUGAUACUUCUUAGUGCUCUAAUUUUCAUCCACAAAACAGAUUGAGUGUCAUCUUCACGGUUAGAUUCCAGGGAGGAUGUAAAUAACUUUUGGAUUAAUAAAAGUAAGAAUAUGAGAGCUAAAUAACCGCCAGUUUACACUAAAUGAAUUUGAUGAGUCUCUGCAAAUGGUUGGCAUCGCUCUUUAUUCUGCAGAUUAAAAGAACUUGAUUAAUUGUUCAUGUUCACAGGUAUCUAAAAAGCUUUCUCUGAUGUCUGUCUUUAAGGGUUACUCUUGGUACUAGGCACAUCCAUGGUUAGAAGUUGCUUGACAAUUUUUGUUUGAACUAAGUUAUUUGUGGGAUACACAUGAAAUAGUCUAAGCCUGAUAUAUACGGUGCUAAUUUACCCUCUACCUAAAACUUGUUGGAGAAACAUGGAGUUUUUUUUUGGCAGCUUCCAAAUGUUGAUUUUGCCUCAGGUACUGUGCUUGCCACCUCUGGUGAAGGAGCCCUGCUCCAGCGCUCCCCCCUAACAUAAGUUGAGAGGUCAUAUUUAGUUUAUUUUCCUACUUUAGUCUGCCGAAAUUUAUACCCAUUCCAUGUAUACCCGUUUGUAUAGAUGUCGUAUCUAUACCCUUUUAUAUGUGGUACUUUUUCAGUAAACAUUGCGUCAGGAACACACGGGAUGGUACAAGUAUGUCAUACGUACGGGAUUUGCUUGUGUAAGACAACGCGCACCAUACGGGUCUCUAUAGGGCUUUUUACCAAGGGAGGAGCACGAGCAGAAGUGCUGGUGAAGAGUCUGUACACAAGGGAAACCUAAAAUCUGCACCGAAGAUCUCAAGAGUAAAGAGCCAGUUCUUGCACUUGCAUGUGGAAGGAUGAGGUCUCCAUCCACUCCGUACUCGUCGUGGAGGCUCGCAUCCACCAUCCGGGACAGAGAGGAGCUCGCAGCUGCACAUCACAUCCACCACUGUACUGCUACAGUAUGAGUGGAUGUAGAAGAAGCUACUUCUGGGUUGAAGAAGAUUUAUUAUUACUAUGAUGUUUUAGCUCUUGUAAUUGACAUGCAGUGGAAUAUUAUCAGAUCAUGUAAGUUGUGUGUUGUAAUGAAGUGGUAUAAUAGGUAAGUUAUAUGAAGUUUGCUUGUAAGGCAUGAAUAAUUGUUAAUGGACCACUUUGCUGGAUAUAGCCAAUUCUCUUUUUA